UGCGUAGGCGGCUUCUUAAGUCGGAUGUGAAAUCCCUGAGCUUAACUUAGGAAUUGCAUUCGAUACUGGGAAGCUAGAGUAUGGGAGAGGAUGGUAGAAUUCCAGGUGUAGCGGUGAAAUGCGUAGAGAUCUGGAGGAAUACCGAUGGCGAAGGCAGCCAUCUGGCCUAAUACUGACGCUGAGGUACGAAAGCGUGGGGAGCAAACA
This 207-nucleotide ribosomal RNA is filed under the name uncultured bacterium. RNAcentral describes it as "partial 16S ribosomal RNA". It matches the Rfam family "Bacterial small subunit ribosomal RNA", at positions 568 to 774 of the family's 1533-position model. The record is from RNAcentral.